UCCGGUUUGACACCGGCAGUCUCCCAUGAGUCCCCACCAUUACGUGCUGGCAACAUGGAACGAGGGUUGCGCUCGUUGCGGGACUUAACCCAACAUCUCACGACACGAGCUGACGACAGCCAUGCACCACCUGUGAACCAGCCACAAGGGAGGCCCUAUCUCUACGGCUUUUCCCCGCAUGUCAAACCCAGGUAAGGUUCUUCGCGUUGCCUCGAAUUAAGCAACAUGCUCCACCGCUUGUGCGGGCCCCCGUCAAUUCCUUUGAGUUUCAGCCUUGCGGCCGUACUCCCCAGGCGGGGCACUUACUGCGUUAGCGACGGCACCGGGAGGGUCGCUCCCCCCGACGCCUAGUGCCCAUCGUUUACGGCGUGGACUAC
RNAcentral lists this unclassified non-coding RNA (377 nucleotides) under uncultured bacterium. Its description in RNAcentral is "contains 16S-23S intergenic spacer region". The record is from RNAcentral.